GGCGGCAGGCCUAAUACAUGCAAGUCGGACGGGAUUGAGGAGCUUGCUUUUCAUGAGAGUGGCGCACGGGUGCGUAACACGUAUGUAACCUACCUUGUUCAGGGGGAUAGCCUCUCGAAAGAGAGAUUAAGACCGCAUAAAAUCACAUUACAGCAUUGUAAAAUGAUCAAAUAUUUAUAGGAACAAGAUGGGCAUGCGGAACAUUAGCUAGUUGGUAAGGUAACGGCUUACCAAGGCUACGAUGUUUAGGGGAUCUGAGAGGAUGACCCCCCACACUGGUACUGAGACACGGACCAGACUCCUACGGGAGGCAGCAGUAAGGAAUAUUGGUCAAUGGGCGGAAGCCUGAACCAGCCAUGCCGCGUGCAGGAAGACGGCCCUAUGGGUUGUAAACUGCUUUUACAGGGGAAUAAACCUCGUUACGUGUAACGAGCUGAAUGUACUCUGAGAAUAAGGAUCGGCUAACUCCGUGCCAGCAGCCGCGGUAAUACGGAGGAUCCAAGCGUUAUCCGGAUUUAUUGGGUUUAAAGGGUGCGUAGGUGGCCUGUUAAGUCAGGGGUGAAAGACGGUAGCUCAACUAUCGCAGUGCCCUUGAUACUGACGGGCUUGAAUAAACUAGAGGUAGGCGGAAUGUGACAAGUAGCGGUGAAAUGCAUAGAUAUGUCACAGAACACCAAUUGCGAAGGCAGCUUACUAUGGUUUUAUUGACACUGAGGCACGAAAGCGUGGGGAUCAAACAGGAUUAGAUACCCUGGUAGUCCACGCCCUAAACGAUGAAUACUCGAUGUUGGCGAUAUACGGUCAGCGUCUAAGCGAAAGCGUUAAGUAUUCCACCUGGGGAGUACGCCCGCAAGGGUG
Molecule: ribosomal RNA, 858 nt
Filed under: uncultured bacterium
Lineage: Bacteria
Description: bacterial SSU rRNA
Rfam family: Bacterial small subunit ribosomal RNA
Source: RNAcentral